GUGAGGAAUCUUGCGCAAUGGGCGAAAGCCUGACGCAGCGACGCCGCGUGGAGGAUGAAGGUCUUCGGAUCGUAAACUCCUGUCGAGCGGGACGAAUCCCGGGAGGGUGAACAAUCCUCUCGGUUGACGGUACCGCUGGAGGAAGCCCCGGCUAACUCCGUGCCAGCAGCCGCGGUAAUACGGAGGGGGCCAGCGUUGUUCGGAAUCAUUGGGCGUAAAGGGCGCGUAGGCGGCCGAGCAAGUCGGAUGUGAAAUACCCCGGCUCAACUGGGGAAUUGCAUCUGAAACUGCUUGGCUUGAGUCCUGGAGAGGGUAGUGGAAUUCCCAGUGUAGCGGUGAAAUGCGUAGAUACUGGGAGGAACACCGGUGGCGAAGGCGGCUACCUGGACAGGUACUGACGCUGAGGCGCGAAAGCUAGGGGAGCAAACAGGAUUAGAUACCCGGGUAGUCC
RNAcentral lists this ribosomal RNA (451 nucleotides) under uncultured bacterium. Its description in RNAcentral is "bacterial SSU rRNA". It matches the Rfam family "Bacterial small subunit ribosomal RNA", at positions 354 to 796 of the family's 1533-position model. The record is from RNAcentral.